This is a long non-coding RNA of Gorilla gorilla gorilla (western lowland gorilla), 639 nucleotides long. RefSeq lists it as uncharacterized. The record is from RefSeq and is a predicted model, not a curated record. NCBI's taxonomy places the organism in Eukaryota, Metazoa, Chordata, Mammalia, Primates, Hominidae. The transcript has 3 exons.
CAUUUUUGUCAUCAACAGGAUCUAAAUCCAAUACUUCAUUGAGCAAGAACGUGGGCUCUUCAAUCCUGUAACUGGGAGCGCUGUGAGAGUGAUUUUGUCAGCUGCGUGGCUCUAAAGUAUCACUUUCAACUGAAGCAUUUGGAAAAGUUCACUGUGAAAAAUGUAACCAAGAAAUCCUAAGGGAGAAGCUCCAAGAUCAUAGUAAGGAGGAAGAGAAGAAAGAGAAUGGAACCAGGAUGUGGCUUGAGACUUCAGGUGGAAGAGGUGGAGGAUAAUCCUGCAGAGCUGUAUUUAAGGAGGAAGCUGGGAAACCAAGGCAAAGUUCAAAGACAACAUAGUCAGAAGCACAAUUCUGGAGGCCUCCAGUCAGAAGUGGGACCAUGUCAAGGGUCAAGGCUCCAUGAGCAGAAAAGCAGACGAAUAGAAGAGCAGAGGAACAGAAGAAUAGCAGUGUGGCAGAGCAGCGUGGUAGAGAAAGAGGGAAGAGAAGCAGCAUCUGAAUGUUGAGAGGAGUUUGGCUGGGGACAGUCGGAGAGGAGAUUGGCCGCAGGACGACCCAACUCCAGGGGAAGAACAUCUUCCUACUCCAUUCGCUUCCCCACUCCCCAGCCAUUCCACUGAGAGCCACCUCCAUCUGGC